UACAGAGGUCUCAAGCGUUGUUCGGAUUUAUUGGGCGUAAAGAGCUUGUAGGCGGCUCGUCGCGUCGGGUGUGAAAACUUGCGGCUUAACCGCAAGCCUGCACCCGAUACGGGCGGGCUAGAGUUCGGCAGGGGAGACUGGAAUUCCUGGUGUAGCGGUGGAAUGCGCAGAUAUCAGGAGGAACACCGGUGGCGAAGGCGGGUCUCUGGGCCGAUACUGACGCUGAGAAGCGAAAGCGUGGGGAGCGAACAGG
This 253-nucleotide ribosomal RNA is filed under the name uncultured bacterium. Its description in RNAcentral is "partial 16S ribosomal RNA". It matches the Rfam family "Bacterial small subunit ribosomal RNA", at positions 524 to 776 of the family's 1533-position model. The record is from RNAcentral.